Molecule: small RNA, 131 nt
Filed under: Salmonella enterica
Lineage: Bacteria; Pseudomonadati; Pseudomonadota; Gammaproteobacteria; Enterobacterales; Enterobacteriaceae
Also listed under: 7 other names
Description: RtT sRNA
Rfam family: RtT RNA
About the family: This family represents a bacterial cis-regulatory element known as RtT RNA.
Source: RNAcentral
UAUCUCUCCGUACGGGGAAGGAUGAGAAGCUUCGACCAAGGUUCGAUUCGAGCGCAGCGAGAAAGCGUUGCCGCAGGCAACGACCCGAAGGGCGAAGCGCGCAGCGCUGAGUAAUCCUUCCCCCACCACCA